RNAcentral lists this transfer-messenger RNA (359 nucleotides) under Maioricimonas rarisocia. RNAcentral describes it as "Planctomycetes bacterium Mal4 transfer-messenger RNA, SsrA". It matches the Rfam family "transfer-messenger RNA". Rfam says of the family: Bacterial tmRNA, also known as 10Sa RNA or SsrA, is named for its dual tRNA and mRNA-like properties. Its role is to liberate the mRNA from a stalled ribosome. To accomplish this part of the tmRNA is used as a reading frame that ends in a translation stop signal. Lineage: Bacteria; Pseudomonadati; Planctomycetota; Planctomycetia; Planctomycetales; Planctomycetaceae. The record is from RNAcentral.
GGGGGCGAUUGGAUUCGACUGGUUCUUCGCGGGGUGCUGGUUGCGUGUCGUGGUUGAUCAGCAGGCCACGUAAAAAGCUGAUCGAACAACAACUGCCACUGAAAAGCAGUUUGCACUGGCUGCCUAAAUAAGGUAGCUCCGGCCUAGGAAUCCCCGUCUGAGGAGUCUGAACGCCGGUCACAAAAUCAGACUGGCUGCAGGUCAUUGAUCGCUACGCCUGCAGUGAGACAAGUUGUGAUCUGGCUGCGUAACGCUCUGUUUGCCGUGCCGAUCGCAGUGAGACCCGAACGACAGACUACACACGUAGAUGCCGCAUGCCAGGGUUCUCAGGACGCGGGUUCGAUUCCCGCCGCCUCCAC